This is an RNA transcript of Chiroxiphia lanceolata (lance-tailed manakin), 8214 nucleotides long. It is a transcript of the gene named bifunctional heparan sulfate N-deacetylase/N-sulfotransferase 3, with no coding region annotated. The record is from RefSeq and is a predicted model, not a curated record. The transcript has 22 exons. Lineage: Eukaryota; Metazoa; Chordata; Aves; Passeriformes; Pipridae.
CUUGUGGCGACACCCUCGUGAGGCGGCGCGAUGGCGGAUCGGUUCCGUGAAGGGAGUGUGGGGCGAGCGGGGCCUUCCUGCCCCGAGGGAGGGGAUUACAUGGGCGCUUUAGCUGUGGGGAUGAUUAAAAUAUUAUCCUGACUUUACAAAGGGGGCAGAAAUAGCUGGGAAGUGGGUCCUGGUCGGCGAAAGGUGGGCUGGCAGAGAUGAUGAGUCUUAAAACUCCCACGCCUGACCUACGAUGAAGUUGUGGAACAACAGGGUACCUUUGGGCCAUUGCCACUUUGAAAAGGCACAGCUGGUGACUGCUUUUCCUAAAAAUACCUGCUGCAAAUGUUGGGAGGUGGCAGAGACAAGAUUGUAUAUAAUAAAUAUAUAAUAAUUAUGUGUAUAAUUUAUAUAAUAAGUAAUGCUCCUGAGGAACAAUUGAUCGGGAAAGGGGCAUGAAGGCCGUGGGGACCUCAGAGGGAGAAGCAGGUGUUGGGGAUUACAUGAUCAAGGGAAGGCAAUAAAACACACCUUGGCCUUGUUAGUGUUGCUUUUAGGAGAAGAUGGAGCUGCUUCUCUCACUUUGUGGGCUGUGGAAGGACGGGAGAGACCCGACUAGACCAGAGCAGGAGGAGCUGGUGAAGGCAGCAGUGCAGUGGGCUGAUCCUGAGCACUUUCCUGUGGAAAACCGUGAAGGUUCAUUGCAGUUUUCAUCCCCUCCAUCUAAGAACUGUUUACAAACAUUUGUUAUUAAACUCCGCAGCGCCAGAGAAGGGCUGCAUUCAGUACCUGUCUGCCUGCCUGUGACACCGAGAUCUGCUGCUGUUUGCCUGGGGAUGCCCCGUGCUUUGUAUCUGCCAGGCACAGCGGGGCCGUGACAUCAGACGUUUUCAAAACAAAGAAUUCAAGCCCAACCUGGAUGUUGUACACAGGAGACCUGAAAAUGCAAGAAUCUGUCUCAUCUUAUGGGCCACAAAGCUAAACACUGUCUCUGAAGAGCUUUUGACCCAGCAUGCCCUGUACAGACAGCAGCUAAACAGAGUUGAGUGCAUUUGGACUCAGUAUUUUCUCUGUUGUGGUGUGCCAGUGCCCACCGGGGGGGACCUGAGGGGAAUGAAUCAGCACCAAAUCCAUUAAAAUCUGUAGAACAUCCUUCUGCUGAAAGGAAGAUUGCCAACAUGCCAACUGAGAGAAGGUAGGAAAGGCACAGCCAGUGACACGAAGUAUGAUUGUUAUAUUAUACCUCUGGUGAAGCUCUGUGGAAGAUAGAUGUGUGUGCUGCAAUGGUGACAUAAAGAUUUCACAGGACUGGAACAAGUUGUUGAGAAUCUGUGUUUGUUUUUCAUGCUGCUGUCGAGAACUAUCUAAGGCAAGUAAACACCAUGAGUUUUAUCCUGAAACUUCACAGACACUUUCAAAGAACAGUUAUUUUGCUGGCCACUUUUUGUAUGGUGAGCAUAGUUAUUUCUGCCUACUACUUGUAUAAUGGCUACAAACAGGAAAAUGAACUUCCUGAAAUCUCUUCAGAAGUGGAAUGUGGUGAUCCUCAACUGUUGCCAUACAAGCUGAUGGAGAUGAAGACCGUGAAGCCUCUUGAUCCCCUGAGGACAGACCUUGUAGUGCUGGUGUUUGUGGAAAGCCAGUACUCCACGCUAGGCCAAGAUAUAAUAACCAUCUUGGAAUCCAGCAGAUUUCAGUUCCACAUUGAGAUUGCUCCUGGGAAAGGUGACCUCCCGGUGCUUAUAGACAAAAACAGAGGCAAAUACGCUCUCAUAGUGUAUGAAAAUAUUCUAAAGUAUGUGAAUAUGGACUCUUGGAACAGAGGCCUUCUAGAUAAGUACUGUAUCGAAUAUGGUGUAGGUGUUAUUGGAUUUCACAAAGGCAGUGAGAACAGCUUGCAGAGCUUUCAGUUGAAGGGUUUUCCUUUCCACGUCCACAGCAAUCUGGGUAUUAAGGACUGUUGCAUUAACCCUCAUUCCCCACUGCUCCAUGUGACUAAAUCUUCUAAGCUGGAGAAAGGGCCCUUGCUUGGAAAUGACUGGGCUGUUUUCCAGAUUAAUCACACAGCUUAUCAACCAGUGAUAUUUGCAAAAGUAAAGACACCAGAAAACCUUUCUCCACCUGCUGCUCUCAGUGCUCUCUAUGCCACGGUAAUUCAUGACCUGGGGCUCCACGAUGGGAUACAACGAGUCCUUUUCGGCAAUAACUUGAAUUUUUGGCUGCACAAGCUGAUUUUCAUAGAUGCCAUCUCUUUCCUAACUGGAAAGAAGCUCAGACUGUCCUUGGAUAGGUACAUUCUCGUUGACAUAGAUGACAUCUUCGUUGGGAAGGAGGGAACAAGGAUGAACACCAACGACGUACAGGCCCUGCUUGACACUCAGAAUCUUUUGAGAGCCCAGAUUACAAAUUUUACUUUCAACCUGGGAUUUUCAGGGAAGUUUUAUCACACGGGGACUGAGGAGGAGGAUGAAGGUGAUGACCUGCUGUUGAGAUCAGUGGAUGAGUUCUGGUGGUUUCCCCACAUGUGGAGUCACAUGCAGCCCCACCUCUUCCACAACGAGUCCUCGCUGGUGGAGCAGAUGAUCCUCAACAAAAAAUUUGCCUUAGAACAUGGUAUUCCAACUGACUUGGGCUAUGCAGUGGCUCCACACCAUUCUGGAGUGUAUCCAGUACAUGUUCAGCUUUAUGAUGCCUGGAAAAAGGUCUGGAACAUCAGAGUUACCAGCACAGAAGAAUACCCACAUCUGAAGCCUGCAAGGUACAGACGAGGCUUCAUCCACAAAAACAUCAUGGUGCUUCCUAGGCAAACUUGUGGCUUGUUCACCCACACCAUUUUCUAUAAAGAGUAUCCUGGAGGUCCAAAGGAACUAGACAAAAGUAUUCAAGGAGGGGAGUUGUUCUUCACAGUGGUUCUCAAUCCAAUCAGCAUCUUCAUGACACACUUGUCUAACUACGGAAACGACCGCCUGGGCUUGUACACCUUUGUCAAUCUGGCCAACUUUGUUCAUACCUGGACAAACCUCAAACUGCAAACCCUUCCUCCAGUUCAGCUGGCUCACAAGUACUUUGAACUAUUCCCUGAGCAAAAAGACCCUCUCUGGCAGAAUCCCUGCGAUGACAAACGGCACAGAGAUAUCUGGUCUAAGGAAAAAACCUGUGAUCGGUUGCCAAAAUUCUUGGUUGUAGGACCCCAGAAAACUGGUACCACAGCCUUGUAUUUGUUCCUGAUCAUGCAUCCUUCCAUCAUUAGUAACUCCCCCAGCCCAAAAACCUUUGAGGAGGUACAGUUCUUUAAUAGAAAUAACUACCACAGGGGGAUUGAUUGGUACAUGGAUUUCUUCCCCACUCCUUCUAAUGUCACCACUGACUUCCUCUUUGAGAAAAGUGCCAACUAUUUCCACUCUGAGGAAGCUCCCAAGAGAGCUGCUUCCCUCAUCCCCAAGGCCAAGAUCAUCACCAUCCUCAUCGACCCGUCGGACCGGGCGUAUUCCUGGUACCAGCAUCAGCGAUCACACGAAGAUCCUGCAGCUCUGAAAUUCAGCUUCUAUCAGGUGAUCACAGCUGGUCCUCGAGCCCCCUCUGAGCUCAGAGCUCUCCAGAAGAGAUGCCUGGCACCUGGAUGGUACGCUAUCCAUAUUGAAAGAUGGCUAACUUACUUCCCACCUUAUCAGUUGCUCAUUAUUGAUGGACAGCAGCUGAGAACUGACCCAUCUACCGUAAUGGAUGAAGUACAGAAAUUCCUGGGAGUCUCUCCUCACUAUAAUUACUCUGAAGCCCUAACGUUCGACUCACAUAAGGGAUUCUGGUGUCAGCUCCUGGAAGAAGGAAAAACAAAGUGUCUUGGAAAGAGCAAAGGCAGAAAAUACCCUCCUAUGGAUUCUGAGUGCAGGGCCUUUCUGUCAAGCUACUACAGAGAUCACAAUGUGGAACUGUCAAAACUUCUUCACAAAUUGGGACAACCCCUGCCAUCGUGGCUGAGACAGGAGCUGCAGAAAGUGAGAUAGCAUUGGAAAACAGCUGUUUGAAAUCUCUCUUCCACACUUCAGUCAUCAUACCCAAACUCUCCAGCAGCUACCAGAAGGUCUUGUAAGAUAUACCUCUUCAAAAAAGUGUAAAAGAUAGAAAUUAUUUCCAUAUGCUGGCAUGUGGAUUGUAAAAAAUACAUGCAUUUCUUAGAGCUCUGAUGGGCCAGAUCUUUCUUACAAACAUUUCUGGGCCUGUGGACUUGUGGACUACUGUGCACAAAUGUGGAAGUUAUUUACAGCUGGUAAAAGCGUCAGAAAUACAUGAUCUGUCCAAUUUCAUGGUAAAUAUUUACAUUUUUAUAUAUCAGUUUAAAAGUAUUGUGUCUCAUGUAGGUUUUGUAGCCCAUUGUUAGGCCACUGACAGUUUUUCUUACUAUUUGAUUAUUGUGUUGCAUAAGGUAAGAAAAGUUAAUGUAGCACAAAAUGCCAAGUGUACUUCUGCCUUUGGAAUCAGCUUGGUAAUACCCAAAGUGUGUACAAACACAGGUGAGAAGUACUGUUUAUAUGAUAUAUAUGAUUUAGCUGUGCACAGCAACUAAAUACACAGAGCAAAAUCUGGAAGCCACAGUCAAAAGCAGUGUAGAGAAAACCAAACUCAAACAAACAAAACUAUCAUAGGAACCUGUGAUUAUAUCCUGUAACAGCAAACCCUUACAGUGUGGUAAGGACUUUUGUCCAUAAUUAUGUCUGAUCUUGUACUGACUGAAAUGUUAGAAUAUAGCCAUUAUCUGAACAGAAAUUUGUUUGGACAUGUAAAGCACAAAAAUUGCAGUAUAGUCCAUAAAAAUGAGCAGUAUUAGACUUAAACAAUUGUGACCCAAACUGGAGCAGUGGAACAAACUCCUGGUUCUGUGAGCAGCCAGAUCCAGGCACUGCACUCACAGGCUUGCUGUGAAUCAGGUGUAUCUGCACUGAAACGGAUGAAAAACUCAAAAAGAGCAGAAACAGAUCCAUACUUUUAUUGCCUUAAGUUGCACUACUAUUUUUUCUUUUAUUUGCCUUUUUGCUUUCCAAGAUCCUUCAACCUUAUCAAAAUUGUAGCACAUUUCAGUAACCUUCAGUUUACAUCAGCUGCAAAAUUCUAUCAGACUUCGAGAAGAAAAUAUGAGUCCUGAUUCCAAACAUCUUAAACAUAUUUGAUAUUAAAAGUUGAGGAAGAAGUUUCAGCUGAGUGUGACCUUAAUGCUUCUGCACUGAACUUUGGCUCCGAGUGUUUCUAAAGGCAUGAAGGGGUAGUGAAAACAAAAGAGAACUACAGUACUAAAUGCAGUGUUUUAUACAGUAGCUCUUAUAAUGUUUUCAUACUUUGUUUUAGGGCAAAUACUUAAAAACAUGCAUCAAAUGGUGGAAAAACUUUCUGUGUCUCAGUGCUGUUUUACGACAUUCCUGUAAUCAUAUGAUUUAACUUUCAAGGUAAUGGAAUGGAAACCAGUCUCUUAUUCCCUCAAUAGAAAACAGAUGUUGAGAUCCUUACUGUACCUCUAACUGGUAAUCUUUAUUUAUUGAUUUUGUCUAUGUAAUACGUUGUUUUGAUAAGCCUGUAAAGAAAAAAAUCUAGACAAAUUUGCUGUAUAUACCAGUAUUCUUUACACAGCACAUUUUUGCUAAGGGAAAAUAUGCAUGAUUAAUGAUGAGGACCUACUAGAGUAGACAUUUUUUAAGAUGAACAUCUUUAUUAUUUAUUAGACAGAAUGAGAAUUUUCAUUUCAUUUUAAAUAUUCACUGUCGUGUGGAUUUGUCUCAAAAGCUGACUUGUCUUAAAAUACUUCUUAUUUGAUAAAAGAAAUACUCUGGAUUUUGAACAUCUGUAAAAGCAAAUACUCUGCCUGCUAUGGACAGCUCAUGCUUCCUGCAAGCAUCCAUAUAGAUUUGUUACAACUAAAUUGAAUAACUGGAGAAAAUACCUGGGGUUUUCAUCCCGGCAUGAUUGAUUUUACCCUUGAUGUAACCUGAUGUAACAUCACUCAAACAUUUUUAAAAAAUCCACAGGGAUUGCACAAAGCUCCUGUUGUUCACUGCUGCCUCAGUUACUCCACGUUCUUCAGUGGAACAAUUAGAAAAUAGAAGAAAAUGGGAAAAACCUUGGGCACCUAUCAAGUGCCUGAUAUUUUUCAUGGUGAGAGAACCGUCUGCACGGAGAUUUGAGUGCCUCCUACAUGCAGGAGGAAUGGCCUUCAGCCACAUUCAUAAGUUGAUUCUUUGUUUUAAAGAAUUUCCUCUCUGUCUUCCUUCCCUGGGAGAAGAAUGGGAAUGAGUGGGCAGCCAAGGCCAGAGCAGUGAUGGGGACAUGCACAUUGGUCACAUUGUCCCCUGGGAAAUUGUACAGCCCAACUGUGGUCACCAUGAGGCACUGGCAUAAUAAGUCCUCCACAUGCACGACCUUGGCCUUGGAUGGAUUAUCGCUUUUUUAUAAAAGAUAUGAAGCCACAUCUGUUUUCUCCAGAGCUAUUCUACUUAAAUAUGUUCUUACAUUUAACAGGAGCCUUUAAAAAACAGAGUGACUUUUAACAUACAGUCAGCUUGGUGAAGGAUGAGGAGGCUGAGCACAGCAUGCAGGCAGCAGCUUAGAUGAGUUAUUCCCCGUGUCAUAGGAUGGACAUGAGUACAGCAGAGUCGGUUAUCAGCUAUCGCAGCUUGACACUGAGCUACGACACAAUCCAGCAGCACGGGAGCAGCAUGAAAUGUUUUCAGAAAUGAAAAAUGUUGCUUACUCUUGCUUUCUUCAAGUCUCCAAAUUCUUAGAGCUCAAAGGCAAAAGACACUAUUUUUUUUUGUCUCUGUGCACCACAUGGAUGAAGACAGCACAAGUCAGCAUGAAAGGAUAAAUGCCAGGAACAGGAGGGCAGUCAACAGCUGAAACCAAGGACUAGGGAAACCUGAAUGGAGGAGGAGUUUAAGACAAAGAACCCAGAAGCUGAAAAUAUCGAGACGUAUCUGUUCUUGAAGAUCCUCCCCCAAAAAGUAUGUGACUGGAUGUAUAGUACGUAAUAAGCUCUUCAGGAGUGAGAUUUUGAUCGGGAAAAAAUAACGAUUUUAUAAUUUAUGUUUAGCGAUUAAUCUGCUACGACUUGUUCUCUGAAAUAGGUAUAGGUUUGGUGUUUUAUUCUAAGCCAUGCUUCAUUUUUACGUGGUUUAUUGUCAGAAAAAUAAAACCUGAGUGCAUUACUGUGAGGGACGGGAGAAACUGGGUUUGGGUGUAGAUGCGUCAGAAAAAACCCACUAUUCCUAGCAUAAAAGUCACGCUGGCAGUAGUCUUGUUUGCCAAACUAGAGGCAUCCGAAUUCACAGAUUUCUCGGGGAUAUUCUGUGCAAGGGCAAUGUGUUUUUCAAUAAGCACGUGAGUGCCAAGCAGAAUCUGCAGUUACAGGAGCAGAGGGAGACACGAGGUCGAUACUAAAAGCGUUGUUUCAGCGCAUCCUGCUGUUCGGUGAUGUCUGUUUCCUGUCUUGUGUAUUUUCCCGGUAGCAAUAUUAAACUGCCUCAAACUUGUUUUUACAGGGGAAAAACACUCUUGAGUUGUGAUGACAGAAGAAGAUGGGGCUAAAUUCCACAUGUGAAUUCUAGGAGUAACUGUGACUAAAAUUUUAAUUUUUACUGGGGGGGUUGGUGGAUCUUUUUAAUUUUCUGGAAUUGAUGCCUUUUGUGAGCAGUAAUAUUUCUGGUUAUCAAGCAGAGCUGGAAAAAGCUAAUUUUAGGCUAGAUCUUAACCUGGAUUUUUAAAUAAAGUUCAGAUUUGGAGCUUUAAUGAGAGAUUUUGCAGUCCUCCUCAUCCUGGCAAAGAGGGGCUGGAACACAGCUUACUGUGCCUAAAAUUAGCCUUGGCUGCUUCUAUACGAGUACAGUUAGGACAAGUAGCCCGUUUUGUGCAGCUUUCAGGGAUGUGCUGCUUCUCCUUGGGCUGUCACAAAGUGUUGAGCGAUGACAGUAAUGGUUUUGGUAGUUCAGUGGCCGUGCUGCACUGUCCUAUGGCCGACCACGCUGCAGUAGUAUUAAAUCCAGUGACACGUGCACCUUCAGUGGUGGCUCCUCUGCUGCUGAAGUGUGUUAGAAACGUGGUUGCAAAAAGUGUCCAUGUACUGCAGAAGCCAAAGGUAAGUUUUUGAAGUCUAGAAAAUGAAUGUGGAAACUUGUGAUUUUGGUAUCUGUGCCAAUAUAAAGCGUUCAGAUGUAUGAAUAAAUCAAUAAAGAGACUUUGGCUGCA